RNAcentral lists this non-coding RNA (455 nucleotides) under Apaloderma vittatum (bar-tailed trogon). Its description in RNAcentral is "Eukaryotic small subunit ribosomal RNA". It matches the Rfam family "Eukaryotic small subunit ribosomal RNA", at positions 623 to 1113 of the family's 1831-position model. Lineage: Eukaryota; Metazoa; Chordata; Aves; Trogoniformes; Trogonidae. The record is from Rfam by way of RNAcentral.
AAAGUGUUGUUGGCAAACUGUCCUUUCUGCUGGAAUAGCUUCCACUGGAAAUACUACUACUACUACUACUUAAAAAAAGUACAAAUCAACAAAACCCAAUGCUUUAGUAUGCACUUAUUAAGAAAUUUGAUACAUUUUUCUGAAGAAAUAGAAUUGUUCAAAGCUGGCUGGUCAACAGUGCGCUCCAGCCGGGAAUACCAGAAUAAGACUGAUUCGUUUUUUUGUUGUUUUUUUUGGAAGCAGGGCCAUGAUUAAGAACAAUGGCUGGGGGCAUUCACAUUAUGUCACUUGAAAUCUUGGACCAGUGAAGGAUGAACUAAAGCAAAAGCUUUUGCCAAGAAUGUUUUCAUUAAUCAAGAACAAAAGCUGGAGGAUGUGGUCAGCUGACUAUCUGGUGGUAUUGCUACCACCACCUGGUGGCCAAGGAGUUCAAAGGGCACUCAUGUAUUUGAGUU